This 497-nucleotide ribosomal RNA is filed under the name uncultured bacterium. RNAcentral describes it as "partial 16S ribosomal RNA". It matches the Rfam family "Bacterial small subunit ribosomal RNA", at positions 28 to 507 of the family's 1533-position model. The record is from RNAcentral.
GAUGAACGCUGGCGGCGUGCCUAAUACAUCCAAUUCGAGCGAACAUACUAUUAGCUUGCUCCUCUGACUUUAGCUGCUGACGGUUUUGUAACACUUUUAUAACCUACCUUUAAUACUUUGUUAACUUCUGUAACCCUUAUCUAUUACCGUUUAAUAUUUUUAACCGCUUUGUUCAAUAUUUAAUCACGUUUUUUCUGUCUCUUUUAUAUUUUUCCGCGCCGCAUUAUCUAGUUGGUAAUGUAACGCCUUACCAAGGCAACGAUGCAUAGCCGACAUGAGAGGGUGAUCGGCCAAACUGGAACUGAGACACGGUACAGAAUCCUACGGGAGGAAGCAGUAGGGAAUAUUCAGCAAAGGGCGAAAGCCUGACGGAGCAAAGCCGCGUGAGUGAUGAAGGUCUUCGGAUCGUAAAACUCUGUUAUUAGGGAAGAAAAAAUGUGGAAGAAAAUAUGAACGUAUUGACGGUAACUAAACAGAAAGCAACGGCUAACUACGUG